This 203-nucleotide long non-coding RNA is filed under the name Elaeis guineensis (African oil palm). Its description in RNAcentral is "long non-coding RNA (EGUI_LNC037199)". The record is from RNAcentral. Lineage: Eukaryota; Viridiplantae; Streptophyta; Magnoliopsida; Arecales; Arecaceae.
GACAGUUGGCAUGAAGUAUGAAGGCUAUCGAAGUUGGCAUAAAGAUUGUAGUGAAGCCUGCUGCACCUUAUGAGUAUGCAAGCAAUUACUCCAAAUACAAGCAUAAUUGAACCUAUCAGUUGAUAACAAAAGCAUUAAGAGAGAUCCGAAGGACAUAUUUUCUGAACGAAAAGGAGCAUGUAAUGCUGAACUGUUGAACACCU